Molecule: non-coding RNA, 104 nt
Organism: Ceratotherium simum simum (southern white rhinoceros)
Lineage: Eukaryota; Metazoa; Chordata; Mammalia; Perissodactyla; Rhinocerotidae
Source: RefSeq, a predicted model, not a curated record
AUAAUUUUCUUUUGGUUAAUACAGUCGUGCAUCACUUAAUGAUAGGAAAAUGUUCUGAGAAAUGUGUCAUUAGGCAAUUUUGUUAUUGUGUGAAAAUCAUAGAG